This 126-nucleotide small RNA is filed under the name Marmota monax (woodchuck). The record is from RNAcentral. Lineage: Eukaryota; Metazoa; Chordata; Mammalia; Rodentia; Sciuridae.
GCUGGGUGUGGUGGUGCACACCUGUAAUCCAGUGGCUCGGGAGGCUGAGGCAGGAGGAUCACAAGUCCAAAGCCAGGCUCAGCAACUUAACAAGGCCCUGAGCAACUUAGUAAGACCCUAUCCCAA